GCCGAGGUGGUGAAAUUGGCAGACACGCAGCGUUCAGGUCGCUGUGCCCUCAAAGGCGUGGGGGUUCAACUCCCCCCCUCGGCA
RNAcentral lists this transfer RNA (84 nucleotides) under Patescibacteria group bacterium. RNAcentral's name for it is "tRNA-Leu". It matches the Rfam family "tRNA". Rfam says of the family: Transfer RNA (tRNA) molecules are approximately 80 nucleotides in length. Their secondary structure includes four short double-helical elements and three loops (D, anti-codon, and T loops). The record is from RNAcentral.